RNAcentral lists this ribosomal RNA (483 nucleotides) under uncultured Geothermobacter sp. RNAcentral describes it as "bacterial SSU rRNA". It matches the Rfam family "Bacterial small subunit ribosomal RNA", at positions 903 to 1382 of the family's 1533-position model. Lineage: Bacteria; Pseudomonadati; Thermodesulfobacteriota; Desulfuromonadia; Desulfuromonadales; Geothermobacteraceae. The record is from RNAcentral.
CAAAUGAAGUUGACGGGGGCCCGCACAAGCGGUGGAGCAUGUGGUUUAAUUCGACGCAACGCGAAGAACCUUACCUGGGUUUGACAUCCCGAUCGUACUCUAUGGAAACAUAGGGGUCAGUUCGGCUGGAUCGGUAGCAGGUGCUGCAUGGCUGUCGUCAGCUCGUGUCGUGAGAUGUUGGGUUAAGUCCCGCAACGAGCGCAACCCUUGUCCUUAGUUGCCACCAUUCAGUUGGGCACUCUAAGGAGACUGCCGGUGUUAAACCGGAGGAAGGUGGGGAUGACGUCAAGUCCUCAUGGCCCUUAUAUCCAGGGCUACACACGUGCUACAAUGGCCGGUACAAAGGGUUGCCAACCCGCGAGGGGGAGCCAAUCCCAUAAAGCCAGUCGUAGUCCGGAUCGUAGUCUGCAACUCGACUACGUGAAGUCGGAAUCGCUAGUAAUCGUGGAUCAGAAUGUCACGGUGAAUACGUUCCCGGGUCUU